Molecule: long non-coding RNA, 586 nt
Organism: Parus major (Great Tit)
Lineage: Eukaryota; Metazoa; Chordata; Aves; Passeriformes; Paridae
Exons: 2
Source: RefSeq, a predicted model, not a curated record
AAUUAAUUAUUAUUAACGGCUAUUAUUUUUUAUUAUAAUUACUAUUACCAAUAAUCAAUCAUUACUUAUUAUUACCAUUAACUAUUACCAACUAGGGCUGUUAAUUAUUACUCACCAUUAAUUAUUAUUAGCAAUUAUUAGGAGUAUUUGCUGAUUGUUAAUUAUUGUGAACGGUUAAUGAUCAUUAGCGGUUAUUAACGAUCCCCCCGGUGGCCCACGCGCGAUUUCGGCUCGGGGUUUGUUCCAUUCCCGCCCAGAAUUCCCGGGUUUUUCCCAUUUUUUUCCCGUUUUUCCCAUUUUUUCCCGUUUUUUCCCCGUUUUUUCCCUGCCCAGGUCGGUGACCCGCAGUUACUACCGGGGGGCCGCGGGGGCGCUGCUCGUCUAUGACAUCACCAGCCGGGAGACGUACAACGCGCUGGCGCAGUGGCUGACGGACGCCCGCACCUUGGCCAGCCCCAACAUCGUCAUCAUCCUCUGCGGCAACAAGAAGGACCUGGAGGGCGAGCGGGAGGUGACGUUCCUGGAGGCCUCGCGCUUCGCCCAGGAGAACGGUCCGGGAAAAACGGGAAAAACGGAAAAAAACGGG